Molecule: long non-coding RNA, 451 nt
Organism: Panicum virgatum (switchgrass)
Lineage: Eukaryota; Viridiplantae; Streptophyta; Magnoliopsida; Poales; Poaceae
Exons: 2
Source: RefSeq, a predicted model, not a curated record
UCUAAUGGAGAUGUGUUGAUCUUUCCAGAUAUGAUCAGAUACAAAGCCUUCUAACUAAUAAGCUUGUUUAGGCUUUUAAAGCCAACUGCUUCUUAUUUUUUCAAUCUGUAACAUAAUGCUUGCAGAGGUCUGACUCAUUUUGACGUCGACAACUUUGUUGAAGAAGUACUUGUGAAGGAUACUGAGUGGCUUCCUGGAUCUCCUGAGGCUAUCAGCGAGUCCUAUGUCUUCACCUUCUUCAUCAUUUCUUUUAAUUAAAUUUUAUUUCUAUCUCUAUAAACCAGGGUGUAAUUCUGGAGAACAACAUUGCAGGGACCAGAAGGAGCCAUACUUGAAGAUUUCCAAACAGGCAUCAUUGCGUUGUUAGACCACUAAGUAACGUCAAAAAAAAGUUUGCAGGAAGAAAAUAUUUCUAUUUUUUAUGCGCACCUAAAUUCUGUUGGUUAUUGAA